This 1310-nucleotide unclassified non-coding RNA is filed under the name Copidosoma floridanum. Its description in RNAcentral is "protein FAM166B-like, transcript variant X1". The record is from RNAcentral. Lineage: Eukaryota; Metazoa; Arthropoda; Insecta; Hymenoptera; Encyrtidae.
ACGACUGGCUCUCCGCUGCCUGCACUUAUAAUAUCAUUGUGUACUUGCGUUUUCGAGGGGACAUAUAUUAUAGCCGCGCGAGCUCUCGCUGAAUUGUUUUAUUUAUUUUUUAUUUUUUAUUUUUUCUGUUUACCAUCACCGGGUGUUUUUUUUUUUUUCGCACCUUUCUCAAGCUUCUUUUUUUCUUUUUCCGGUCACUCGGGCAAUAAGUAUUUUACGUGAAAAUCGAAGGAAAAUUGCCGGUGCUGGGAAGAGUGUUUCCUCGGUUGCUCGAGCGAAAAAAAUACCUCUGUGGUGUAUAGGUACGUGAGGAUAGUUGAUCAAAGUGUAUUUUGAGUGUGCGAGGAUAACGUGGCAUGUCUUCCUUCGCUGUUUGAUCGAAGCGAGCGUAACAUGGUAUUCGAAGCUGUCUCCGAGGAGGAGCGCCAGGAGUUCUUCCGGCAGGGGUAUAGCGCUCAUCUGCCAGGGUAUACAGGGCACUGUCCGACCCUCAAGUUUCGAGUUGGCAAGCGAUAUGGAGCGUGCACCGAAGAAAUCAUGAAAGAGCUGAUUGACAAAAAUAUACUCAAAACAGCACCAUAUCAAUUCCGAGCAGCAUCAACUAAAGAAAAUUUAGUCCACAUUCAGCGAGAGAAAGACAUCAGGAGGAAUCGGAAAAAAGAUUCGUACACAUUCAAGACUCCACCGUACAUUUUGGGAUAUACAGGCUACAUACCAGGCUACAGCAGCAGGUACGGCCUGACCUUCAUGAAGGCGGUUGACGAAGGCACCACCGAAUGGCGCGAGGCGCAGAGCAAGCUACGCUCACGCCGGGACGCGAUGCGGGCGCACGUAGAGCGCACGAAUCCGCGAAACCUCCUGUCCCGGGUGCGUGCCGACAACGUCGACGUGGAGAUCGACCACGGGCAUGGUGGAAAGCGACAAUAUUUCGACAACCAAGUAUCGGCGGAAAGUCCGCCAAUCGUGGGCUACACCGGACACAUUCCAGGAGCAAAGGGGGAAAUAGCCCUGUCCAAGCGAUACGGCCUGGCUGCGAAAAAGGGCCUGGAACUGUUCGAAAAAGAGCAAAGGUCGAGACUGCUGAGCCCAACCAAAGACGCGGAUGCAAUAGACAGGGUGCUCGAAGUCGCCAACGUCGACGACACUGGCCACCUGAAGCCGUAAUCUACCGAUGUGGGCAGCUAAGGGAUUUUUUUCCCGAAUUUUUUUGUUACUUGAAACGUGUCGUACCUGACAAGAAGCACCGUCCUUGUACAUGCCACAUCUGGUGCUAACCUCGCCUGUCGCUUUGUCUACAACCUGAUAGCUUU